UGCGUAGGCGGGUCUUUAAGUCAGGGGUGAAAUCCUGGAGCUCAACUCCAGAACUGCCCUUGAUACUGAGGAUCUUGAGUUCGGGAGAGGUGAGUGGAACUGCGAGUGUAGAGGUGAAAUUCGUAGAUAUUCGCAAGAACACCAGUGGCGAAGGCGGCUCACUGGCCAGAUACUGACGCUGAGGCACGAAAGCGUGGGGAGCAAACA
Molecule: ribosomal RNA, 207 nt
Filed under: uncultured bacterium
Lineage: Bacteria
Description: partial 16S ribosomal RNA
Rfam family: Bacterial small subunit ribosomal RNA
Source: RNAcentral